Regulatory RNA element from Fictibacillus enclensis, 148 nucleotides. It matches the Rfam family "Ribosomal protein L10 leader". From Rfam's summary of the family: This family is a putative r-protein leader autoregulatory structure found in B. subtilis and other low-GC Gram-positive bacteria. It is located in the 5' untranslated regions of mRNAs encoding ribosomal proteins L10 and L12 (rplJ-rplL). A Rho-independent transcription terminator structure that is probably involved in regulation is included at the 3' end. The record is from Rfam. NCBI's taxonomy places the organism in Bacteria, Bacillati, Bacillota, Bacilli, Caryophanales, Fictibacillaceae.
AUAAAUAUCUAUGUCAUGCCGUAGACAGCAGGGGCUUUAUGCUUAAUCAUCCUGCCGAGGUGUGUAGCACAGAAUACAUCAAUUUUUAAUUGCUUGAUUUCUGAAACUACGCCUUCAUGUCUAACAUGAAGGCUUUUCUUAUGGCUAC